UUGACCCUACGGGGGGCAGCAGUGGGGAAUAUUGCACAAUGGGGGAAACCCUGAUGCAGCAACGCCGCGUGAAGGAAGACGGUUUUCGGAUCGUAAACCUCUUUUGUCAGGGAACAAAGGCGGGGACUAGUCCCCGGAUGAGGGUACCUGAAGAAAAAGCAUCGGCUAACUCCGUGCCAGCAGCCGCGGUAAUACGGAGGAUGCGAGCGUUAUCCGGAUUUAUUGGGUUUAAAGGGUGCGCAGGCGGCCUGUUAAGUCAGCGGUAAAAGCCCGGGGCUCAACCCCGGCGAGCCGUUGAAACUGGG
RNAcentral lists this ribosomal RNA (305 nucleotides) under uncultured bacterium. RNAcentral describes it as "bacterial SSU rRNA". It matches the Rfam family "Bacterial small subunit ribosomal RNA", at positions 332 to 637 of the family's 1533-position model. The record is from RNAcentral.